GAUCGGAGUGCUUGCACUCUGUGAAACAAGAUACAGGCUAGCGGCGGACGGGUGAGUAACACGUGGGUAACCUGCCCAAGAGAUCGGGAUAACACCUGGAAACAGAUGCUAAUACCGGAUAACAACAGAUGAUGCCUAUCAACUGUUUAAAAGAUGGUUCUGCUAUCACUCUUGGAUGGACCUGCGGUGCAUUAGCUAGUUGGUAGGGUAACGGCCUACCAAGGCGAUGAUGCAUAGCCGAGUUGAGAGACUGAUCGGCCACAUUGGGACUGAGACACGGCCCAAACUCCUACGGGAGGCAGCAGUAGGGAAUCUUCCACAAUGGACGCAAGUCUGAUGGAGCAACGCCGCGUGAGUGAAGAAGGGUUUCGGCUCGUAAAGCUCCGUUGUUGGUGAAGAAGGACAGGGGUAGCAACUGACCUUUGUUUGACGGUAAUCAAUUAGAAAGUCACGGCUAACUACGUGCCAGCAGCCGCGGUAAUACGUAGGUGGCAAGCGUUGUCCGGAUUUAUUGGGCGUAAAGCGAGUGCAGGCGGUUCGAUAAGUCUGAUGUGAAAGCCUUCGGCUCAACCGGAGAAUUGCAUCAGAAACUGUCGAGCUUGAGUACAGAAGAGGAGAGUGGAACUCCAUGUGUAGCGGUGAAAUGCGUAGAUAUAUGGAAGAACACCGGUGGCGAAGGCGGCUCUCUGGUCUGUUACUGACGCUGAGGCUCGAAAGCAUGGGUAGCGAACA
Molecule: ribosomal RNA, 732 nt
Filed under: uncultured bacterium
Lineage: Bacteria
Description: bacterial SSU rRNA
Rfam family: Bacterial small subunit ribosomal RNA
Source: RNAcentral